GGGGCUGUAGCUUAGGUGGCAGAGCACUUGCCUAGAAUGCAUGAGGCACAGGAUUCAAUCUUCAGCACCA
Molecule: transfer RNA, 70 nt
Filed under: Ictidomys tridecemlineatus (thirteen-lined ground squirrel)
Lineage: Eukaryota; Metazoa; Chordata; Mammalia; Rodentia; Sciuridae
Description: Spermophilus tridecemlineatus (thirteen-lined ground squirrel) tRNA
Rfam family: tRNA
About the family: Transfer RNA (tRNA) molecules are approximately 80 nucleotides in length. Their secondary structure includes four short double-helical elements and three loops (D, anti-codon, and T loops).
Source: Rfam by way of RNAcentral